This 285-nucleotide long non-coding RNA is filed under the name Oryza sativa tropical japonica subgroup. RNAcentral describes it as "lncRNA OsCMeo_11g0016450". The record is from RNAcentral. Lineage: Eukaryota; Viridiplantae; Streptophyta; Magnoliopsida; Poales; Poaceae.
GCCGAGUCAGAGCUGCCUGUCGUUGCAAGCUCGGCAACUAUCCUCAACAGACAUCCCGGCAACGCGACAAGGGUUUGGAGAUCGAGCAUUUUGAGAGAGCCUCGGUGCUAUCCUAGGCUGACGAUAUCGACGCCUGUGGGCGCCAUUUCCUCCGUGGAGGUAUCGUCACGCUGGCUCUCUCUUCCUUCAGGUGAAAAUCGGGUUCCUUUUGGAACGAGCGUUGACAACAUCCUUGAUGUUGUUUCCUUGUUGGAGACUUCGCUCAGAAGGUUUCUGCUCCACUAG